CCGGAUCCUCCUUAGGGUCUGGAUCCCGAACCUUGAAAAACUCAGAAUUUUUUCAGUUUUUAUUUUUAAAAACAAUCCUAAGUCUUCUAAACACUUUUACUCAAGUAUAUUUUCACCACAAAUUAUUAGCCUACAUACCUGAGUAAACGAGCAUCACGAACGAGUCUUUGCCUCACAAAUCUUGUAAUCUUGGUUCAAUUCUUCAUCUUCAACUCUUUAAGACUCCAUUCAACUUCACGAAAUCCGCCAACAUAGAAAAAUUCUUAACAAUCUCCCACUUUGGCGAUUUCGUGACAAAACUCAAUGCUCAUACAAACUCAAAACAGAAAAACGGAAGAUUAUCGCAAUCACCAAACGACAAUCUCCUGCAUGAUCGAUCCAACAAAGAAAAAUUACAUUUUACUCAUCCUAGACAAACUCUAU
Molecule: long non-coding RNA, 423 nt
Filed under: Ananas comosus (pineapple)
Lineage: Eukaryota; Viridiplantae; Streptophyta; Magnoliopsida; Poales; Bromeliaceae
Description: long non-coding RNA (ACOM_LNC034513)
Source: RNAcentral